GAAAUAGGAAAAAUUAAGCUUCUAACUUAAUAUAAAGCGAUUUAAACCGUUUAUAUUUCU
RNAcentral lists this transfer RNA (60 nucleotides) under Hemipeplus sp. HEM01. Its description in RNAcentral is "tRNA-Ser". The record is from RNAcentral. Lineage: Eukaryota; Metazoa; Arthropoda; Insecta; Coleoptera; Mycteridae.